This 375-nucleotide ribosomal RNA is filed under the name Escherichia coli. RNAcentral's name for it is "partial 23S ribosomal RNA". It matches the Rfam family "Bacterial large subunit ribosomal RNA", at positions 1374 to 1751 of the family's 2925-position model. Lineage: Bacteria; Pseudomonadati; Pseudomonadota; Gammaproteobacteria; Enterobacterales; Enterobacteriaceae. The record is from RNAcentral.
GCAGGGUGAGUCGACCCCUAAGGCGAGGCCGAAAGGCGUAGUCGAUGGGAAACAGGUUAAUAUUCCUGUACUUGGUGUUACUGCGAAGGGGGGACGGAGAAGGCUAUGUUGGCCGGGCGACGGUUGUCCCGGUUUAAGCGUGUAGGCUGGUUUUCCAGGCAAAUCCGGAAAAUCAAGGCUGAGGCGUGAUGACGAGGCACUACGGUGCUGAAGCAACAAAUGCCCUGCUUCCAGGAAAAGCCUCUAAGCAUCAGGUAACAUCAAAUCGUACCCCAAACCGACACAGGUGGUCAGGUAGAGAAUACCAAGGCGCUUGAGAGAACUCGGGUGAAGGAACUAGGCAAAAUGGUGCCGUAACUUCGGGAGAAGGCACGC